AAAUUUCUCUCGCUGAUCCAAUUUCUUUGAUUCAACGAUGUCAGACAAGGAAACAAUCUCUAAUAAAGAGGGUGAUGUAAAAUUUAAAUAUACCGGAGAUGUUCUCGGAGAUGCUGCUAAUCGAUUGCUUACUGAUGAAAAGCUGAUGAAGAAAAUUGGUCAUGAAGUGACGCUCUUCACAAGGGAUGUAUUAUCGGACGAAACAGUUCAAGAUAGUGCGAAAGAAAUAAAGAAAUAUUGAGGGAAGGAUUGGCCCUUCCGUUGGGAAAACGGAUUGCGGCUCCCUUCUAUGUUAUUUCCUUCAUCUAUGCUGUUAAUACAGGCUUGUAUUUCCUGAAGAAAAUCAGGUCGACUGUCAGCGGAUUGGGUCCUUGCAGAAGAUGAAAGAGUGCAUCUCUAUUCUAAUUGAAUUUUAAUUGUAAAAAAUAAGUUUAUGACUGAUGGUGUCUAGGAGAUGUUUAUGUGAAGUAGUGCAGUAUAUUAUCUUUUAGUGUUGAUUCUAUUUAGUGAAAUAUGGUGUCCAGGAGAUGUUUAUGUGAAAUAGUGCAUUAUAUUAUCUUUUAGAUUCUA
Molecule: long non-coding RNA, 570 nt
Organism: Papaver somniferum (opium poppy)
Lineage: Eukaryota; Viridiplantae; Streptophyta; Magnoliopsida; Ranunculales; Papaveraceae
Exons: 2
Source: RefSeq, a predicted model, not a curated record